Coffea arabica (coffee) is the source of this 2365-nucleotide non-coding RNA. Lineage: Eukaryota; Viridiplantae; Streptophyta; Magnoliopsida; Gentianales; Rubiaceae. The record is from RefSeq and is a predicted model, not a curated record.
ACUUGGCUUGAUCCAAGGUUUAUCAGAAACCAUGAAAAUCAAAGGUUGUAAAAAUGCAAAAAAAUGGAGUUUAUUUCUGCGCCUUAGAUGUUAGGUUUCAGUGGUAAGCUUCCCAUAUAAAAACUGAUGAAAAGCUAGAAAGGGACGGGGGCUGAAGAGAUAGAGGGCGGCUAGGGUUUUAGAGGGAAAAGGAAAAAAUGAAAAGAAAAAGGGAGAGCUAGCAGGGCUGGGUAAAAGGAAGCAAGAAAGGUCGUGGGAAAAGAAAGAACUUCAAAAAGGAGAGAGCUUGGAGCUUCGGCAGAGGAGAAAGAAAAGAGCUUUGGGCGGGGAAGGAAAGAGAAGAGAACAAAAACAAGAGACCGAGAGAGGGUGGAGGUGGAAGGUGAGAACAUCUAGAAACCAGGGUAAAGGAAAGGGAGCUUCGGUUAAGAUCAGAAAACAGGAAAAGGAACGAAAAAAAAAGGGAACUUUGCAGAAGAUUUUUCGACAGGAAAAGGCUGACCUUUUAGCCUCCCUCGGAUGCAUUUUUCUCUUUGGAUAUAGCUUUGUUUGAGGUGAUUUAAAUUUCUGAAUAAUCUACGUCAUUUGGGGAGGAGAUUUCGUGUUGAACAUUUCUGGAAAAAACCACUGAAACACCCUUGAAUCGAAGCUCCAAGUCGCGAGUUUGUCCCUGCCGCAUGCCGCUGCGAUGAAAUUUUCUUGGCUUCGUUUCAGCCAACUUUCCCGCUUCAUUCUGAUCUCCCCAGGGCUCCUCAGGGAGAGAUCUCGGUUUCUGGAUAAACUACAUCAUCAAAGGAGCGAUUCUUGUUGAGAAACAUUCUGGAAAGGACGUCUCCAUCCUCUCCAAACUUCAUCCCCCUGGUAGCAAGGUCGUCAGCCUUAGGUGUCUUCACCAAAAAUUUGCCGCUUCGAAGUUGGUAUCUGGACGCGAUCUUUUCAAUCUUUCCUUGCUUACUGGACCUAGUAAAGUGCUAAAGGUAAUCCUUUUUGCCUUCUAUCUCUCACGUUAGCUCAGAUUUUCCAAAUAUGUCAAAGACCUUGAUGCAUUUUGUUCGCUUUGUCAUUUUUGCUUCCUAGAACAGCCGUUGGUUGGGUUUUAUUGAAUUAUUCGUUACCUGAUGUUUGUAUUUGGGAGAUCAAGCUUGAUAUGUGAUAUCUUGGGUUAUGUUAACAAUGGUGCUAUGGGAAUUUAUGCGGGUUUAGUUGACAGAAAAAUGAGUUUUGUUGCAUUCUUUUCGUAUGAUAUCAGCGUGGGUUUGAGCUGCCAAUUUGUAUCAAAAAUUGCAGUAGGAAACCUUGACCGAAUUUAAUCCGGAAUGAAUCUUGAAUGGGCUGUUAGUUUGCUAGUUUCAUAGCUUCCUUUUCGUUUGCAUGGUCGAGAUUCUGUCUCAAAUUUUUCCUGAGCGACGUGGGUUGCUAAAAUGAGUUCAGUUGCAGAAUGUUUUUCUUUGCGGCUUUGCUGCAUUUUAUGUUCGGUUUCUUUGAGUAGAUCUUUUGGGGAAUAGAUGAUUGUUUUUUAGGUUAACAAUAUGAGUUAGAAGUCAUGGCAUUGGAGAGUUCGCAUGGACAGAUUACUAAGCUUUCAUUCCCAUUACUUCGUAUGAUCAUCUUUCGGUCCGUAGCUACAAAUUGCAGAAUGUUAUUUCUAUGUUUGCAUGAUCAUUUUUCCGAGUUUCAGAUGUUUAAACAUAAGAUUUUUGCGGUUAAAAGGAGAAAAAUGUUUGGGUAAUCUUGUCACUUCAGUCCAAGCCUUUGUGUGUAGUUGUUAAUUGUGUUCGGAUGAGAAAGGAUCGCAUCAGGAAACCUGAAAGUGGAAAUGAAAAACGCAGCAAAGUCUUUCCGUAGCUUUGCAUGGAAAACUUUCAACAAUUGCCCUUUGACCCCCUGUCCUUUCAUAUACUUCCAUUAUGAGCCAACCAAUUGAAUAAUUUCCUCAAUUUGGUCCUUGGCAGCUUUAAUUUUACAACUUUUCAUUGCUUGUUUGCUUCAAUUAACUACCAUGCUUUGUUUAAAUUGCACUUAAUUCAUAAUUUUAAGGGUUUUGUAUCCAGGUGAGGUUGUGUUUGCAUAUUUUCUUUAAUUUUUCCAAAUAAAUUGGUACCUUGACCUUCUCUUUUAUUUUGGAGGAUAAAUAAGUGAUUUCACUCCACUAGGGUCCCGACUCAAGGGAGGGCACCACUUUUGGGGAAUAUGAUGUUUUGAAGCACGAGUUGAGCUCGUUUUAAUAUAUUUUUGCAAAGCUCCUCGAUAGUUGGAAAACCCUAAAUGUAUUUGGAUCUAAUUAGCUUCCUUUUGUUCUGUAAAUUACAAACGUAUGUGUAUAACACCGUUUGACCCUGUUCAUGUAUCAUAUUUGGUUUUGAAA